AUCUUUGCACAGUGACAGUAUCAUAGCCAAUGAGGUUUAUUCGAGGCACGAUUAUUGCUAAUUGAAAAGUAAUUAAUAGUAUGCUUAGGAUUAAAUCAUCUACAGAUCUACAGAUUUUUUGUAACUAUGUGAUCUUG
RNAcentral lists this small nuclear RNA (137 nucleotides) under Chinchilla lanigera (long-tailed chinchilla). RNAcentral describes it as "U4 spliceosomal RNA (ENSCLAG00000020653.1)". It matches the Rfam family "U4 spliceosomal RNA". From Rfam's summary of the family: U4 small nuclear RNA (U4 snRNA) is a component of the major U2-dependent spliceosome. The record is from Rfam by way of RNAcentral. Lineage: Eukaryota; Metazoa; Chordata; Mammalia; Rodentia; Chinchillidae.